UACGUAGGCAGCAAGCGUUGCUCGGAAUUACUGGGCGUAAAGGGCGCGUAGGCGGCUCUGCACGUCCGUUGUGAAAUCGCCCGGCUCAACUGGGCGGGGUCAGCGGAUACGGCGGAGCUUGAGCAAGCUAGGGGGCAAUGGAAUUCCCGGUGUAGUGGUGGAAUGCGUAGAUAUCGGGAGGAACACCAGUGGCGAAGGCGGUUGCCUGGGGCUUUGCUGACGCUGAUGCGCGAAAGCGUGGGGAGCGAUCCGG
This 253-nucleotide ribosomal RNA is filed under the name uncultured bacterium. Its description in RNAcentral is "partial 16S ribosomal RNA". It matches the Rfam family "Bacterial small subunit ribosomal RNA", at positions 524 to 776 of the family's 1533-position model. The record is from RNAcentral.